GCGGACAUAGCUCAGUUGGUAGAGCGCCACCUUGCCAUGGUGGAGGUCGCCGGUUCGAGACCGGCUGUUCGCU
This 73-nucleotide transfer RNA is filed under the name Microbacterium sp. 77mftsu3.1. RNAcentral's name for it is "tRNA_Gly_GCC". It matches the Rfam family "tRNA". From Rfam's summary of the family: Transfer RNA (tRNA) molecules are approximately 80 nucleotides in length. Their secondary structure includes four short double-helical elements and three loops (D, anti-codon, and T loops). The record is from RNAcentral. Lineage: Bacteria; Bacillati; Actinomycetota; Actinomycetes; Micrococcales; Microbacteriaceae.